This 117-nucleotide ribosomal RNA is filed under the name Chinchilla lanigera (long-tailed chinchilla). The record is from RNAcentral. Lineage: Eukaryota; Metazoa; Chordata; Mammalia; Rodentia; Chinchillidae.
GCCUACGGCCAUACCAUGCUGAACGCACCUGAUCUCGUCUGAUCUCGGAAGCUAAGCAGGGUCGGGCCUGCUUAGUACUUGGAAGGGAGAAAAUGUGGAAAAGAAACACCUUAUAUU